RNAcentral lists this ribosomal RNA (114 nucleotides) under Danio rerio (zebrafish). Lineage: Eukaryota; Metazoa; Chordata; Actinopteri; Cypriniformes; Danionidae. The record is from RNAcentral.
AUAUGUUUUUAUAUCACCCUGCAGCCCAAGACCAGUUAUUCACUGAAGCUAAGCAGGGCUGAGCCUGGUCAGUACCUGGAUGGGAGACCACAUGGCAAAACUAGGUUGCUUUUG